This 160-nucleotide ribosomal RNA is filed under the name uncultured bacterium. Its description in RNAcentral is "partial 16S ribosomal RNA". It matches the Rfam family "Bacterial small subunit ribosomal RNA", at positions 338 to 490 of the family's 1533-position model. The record is from RNAcentral.
CCUACGGGAGGCAGCAGUGGGGAAUUUUGGACAAUGGGCGCAAGCCUGAUCCAGCCAUGCCGCGUGCAGGAUGAAGGCCUUCGGGUUGUAAACUGCUUUUGUACGGAACGAAAAGGUUCUUUCUAAUAAAGAGAGCUCAUGACGGUACCGUAAGAAUAAG